UUCCCAGAAGGAAUGUGUUGCUGGG
RNAcentral lists this non-coding RNA (25 nucleotides) under Rattus norvegicus (Norway rat). The record is from RNAcentral. Lineage: Eukaryota; Metazoa; Chordata; Mammalia; Rodentia; Muridae.